UGGGGAAUAUUGCACAAUGGGGGAAACCCUGAUGCAGCGACGCCGCGUGAAGGAUGAAGUAUUUCGGUAUGUAAACUUCUAUCAGCAGGGAAGAAAAUGACGGUACCUGAGUAAGAAGCCCCGGCUAACUACGUGCCAGCAGCCGCGGUAAUACGUAGGGGGCAAGCGUUAUCCGGAUUUACUGGGUGUAAAGGGAGCGUAGACGGAUCUGCAAGUCUGGAGUGAAAGCCCGGGGCUCAACCCCGGGACUGCUUUUGAAACUGUAAGGCUUGAUUGCAGGAGAGGCAAGUGGAAUUCCUAGUGUAGCGGUGAAAUGCGUAGAUAUUAGGAGGAACACCAGUGGCGAAGGCGGCUUGCUGGACUGUAAAUGACGCUGAGGCUCGAAAGCGUGGGGAGCAAACAGGAUUAGAUACCC
RNAcentral lists this ribosomal RNA (415 nucleotides) under uncultured bacterium. RNAcentral describes it as "bacterial SSU rRNA". It matches the Rfam family "Bacterial small subunit ribosomal RNA", at positions 355 to 787 of the family's 1533-position model. The record is from RNAcentral.